UAAGGAAUAUUGGUCAAUGGACGCAAGUCUGAACCAGCCAUGCCGCGUGGAGGAUGAAGGCCCUCUGGGUUGUAAACUUCUUUUAUAGGGGAAGAACUCUAUCCUUUCUAGGGUAGUUGACGGUACCCUGUGAAUAAGCACCGGCUAACUCCGUGCCAGCAGCCGCGGUAAUACGGAGGGUGCAAGCGUUAUCCGGAUUCACUGGGUUUAAAGGGUGCGUAGGUGGGCAGGUAAGUCAGUGGUGAAAUCUCUGGGCUCAACCCGGAAACUGCCGUUGAUACUAUUUGUCUUGAAUAGAGUGGAGGUGAGCGGAAUAUGUCAUGUAGCGGUGAAAUGCUUAGAUAUGACAUAGAACACCGAUUGCGAAGGCAGCUCGCUACACUCUCAUUGACACUGAGGCACGAAAGCGUGGGGAUCAAACAGGAUUAGAUACCCCCGUAGUCC
Molecule: ribosomal RNA, 444 nt
Filed under: uncultured bacterium
Lineage: Bacteria
Description: bacterial SSU rRNA
Rfam family: Bacterial small subunit ribosomal RNA
Source: RNAcentral